This 207-nucleotide ribosomal RNA is filed under the name uncultured bacterium. RNAcentral describes it as "partial 16S ribosomal RNA". It matches the Rfam family "Bacterial small subunit ribosomal RNA", at positions 568 to 774 of the family's 1533-position model. The record is from RNAcentral.
CUCGUAGGCGGUUUGUCGCGUCGGGAGUGAAAACACUGGGCUUAACCGAGUGCUUGCUUUCGAUACGGGCAGACUUGAGGCAUUGAGGGGAGAACGGAAUUCCUGGUGUAGCGGUGAAAUGCGCAGAUAUCAGGAGGAACACCGGUGGCGAAGGCGGUUCUCUGGCAAUGUUCUGACGCUGAGGAGCGAAAGUGUGGGGAGCGAACA